UUUAGUUGGGCACUCUAAAGUGACUGCCGGUGCAAGCCGGAGGAAGGUGGGGAUGACGUCAAAUCAUCAUGCCCCUUAUGACCUGGGCUACACACGUGCUACAAUGGAUAGUACAAAGGGUCGCGAAGCCGCGAGGUGGAGCUAAUCCCAUAAAACUAUUCUCAGUUCGGAUUGUAGGCUGCAACUCGCCUACAUGAAGCCGGAAUCGCUAGUAAUCGUGGAUCAGCAUGCCACGGUGAAUACGUUCCCGGGCCUUGUACACACCGCCCGUCACACCACGAGAGUUUGUAACACCCGAAGUCGGUAGGGUAACCUUUAUGGAGCCAGCCGCCGAAGGUGGGACAGAUAAUUGGGGUGAAGUCGUAACAAGGUAGCCGUAUCGGAAGGUGCGGCUGGAUCACCUCCUUU
RNAcentral lists this ribosomal RNA (408 nucleotides) under Listeria monocytogenes. RNAcentral's name for it is "bacterial SSU rRNA". It matches the Rfam family "Bacterial small subunit ribosomal RNA", at positions 1126 to 1533 of the family's 1533-position model. Lineage: Bacteria; Bacillati; Bacillota; Bacilli; Caryophanales; Listeriaceae. The record is from RNAcentral.